GACAGAGGGUGCAAACGUUGUUCGGAAUUACUGGGCGUAAAGCGCGUGUAGGCGGCAGGGCAUGUCGGAUGUGAAAUCCCGUGGCUCAACCACGGAAGUGCACUCGAAACUACCAUUCUUGAGUGUCGGAGAGGAAAGCGGAAUUCCUGGUGUAGAGGUGAAAUUCGUAGAUAUCAGGAGGAACACCAGUGGCGAAGGCAGCCCCCUGGGUUAACACUGACGCUCAUGCACGAAAGCGUGGGGAGCAAACAGG
RNAcentral lists this ribosomal RNA (253 nucleotides) under uncultured bacterium. Its description in RNAcentral is "partial 16S ribosomal RNA". It matches the Rfam family "Bacterial small subunit ribosomal RNA", at positions 524 to 776 of the family's 1533-position model. The record is from RNAcentral.